GUUAGAAACCAGAUGUCAAGGCACGUUUAUUUACUAAAACUUAACUUGAAGAAUUGAAGGGAAAUAUAGCAAGCAAAACUGGGGAGGCCAAUUUCAAAUCAAUUACGAUACCUUGCCCAAGAUGAUUCCGCUCUAGAAGAAAGUAUUUCGCAAUCUGUGGCACAACAGCACCCUCUAGAAGUCCCUCCAUACCCCACACAUAUACCGGCCUCAUAGAAACUCUUGACAAACAAAUCAAAGGUCAGAAAGUUCCCAACACCAGGUACAUGAAUAGGGACUAAGGAAACAUAAUACGACUAACUCCACAGAGGUGUGCUGACAGGAUAGGCCAAAAUGGUCGCACUCUCUCAAAGGGGGAAAUUCACUUAUCCCAGAUACUUAAGUAUCAAAGGCAAUAUAUCAAAUAAGCUCUGUGGGGGCCCUUACCAGAUUAUCGGCCCCGUGGUGACAUUCUUUAUUUAUUUACAGAAAUUUCCUUAAUUCGGGUUGUAUUUAAUAGCACCACUUUCUGUAGUUCUCUGUAUAUAUUAUUAUGAAAAUGUAAAUACGUUAAUUAUUCUCCUAGUUUUUGUACUACUUUUAUUAUUAUUCUGUAGUUAAAGUUGAUUCCUAGGGUUUCUUUAGGGUUCUACUUACGUUUGGUUUAUUAUUUUUAUCUAUAGUGUUUAGUUUUUAAGUAAUUCAUCUUGUUCGAGAGCCCUAUUUUGGCCCCAAUUUAGGUUAUAUUAUUGUAAAUCCCUGUAGUUCUAAUUUUCUAGAAUUUGUAUACUUGCUUGCUUUGACUGUCAGUAUUCUCCUAUAAUAAUUGGUCUCUUUCGGCAAAAACAAUGAAGAUAAUUCUAAAUAUUUCGAAACUGUUCCAUCGGGUUUUAGAAAGGACGCGCUUCGUGACAAUUCAUUCAGUUUUUAAUUGUUUAGUCAGUUUUUACCUUGGAAAUAAUUAAACGACAGUCAAAGCGAGUUAGGUUAGUUUUUUUGACGUUAACAAUAAAAGUGUGUUCCCGAA
Long non-coding RNA from Anthonomus grandis grandis, 1006 nucleotides. RefSeq lists it as uncharacterized. NCBI's taxonomy places the organism in Eukaryota, Metazoa, Arthropoda, Insecta, Coleoptera, Curculionidae. The transcript has 3 exons. The record is from RefSeq and is a predicted model, not a curated record.